RNAcentral lists this unclassified non-coding RNA (18 nucleotides) under Chlamydomonas reinhardtii. RNAcentral describes it as "small RNA Cre_3784". The record is from RNAcentral. Lineage: Eukaryota; Viridiplantae; Chlorophyta; Chlorophyceae; Chlamydomonadales; Chlamydomonadaceae.
UUCAGAGCGUAGGCCUGC